Molecule: ribosomal RNA, 498 nt
Filed under: uncultured bacterium
Lineage: Bacteria
Description: partial 16S ribosomal RNA
Rfam family: Bacterial small subunit ribosomal RNA
Source: RNAcentral
GAUGAACGCUGGCGGCGUGCCUAAUACAUGCCAGUCGAGCGAACAGACGAGGAGCUUGCUCCUCUGACGUUAGCGGCGGACGGGUGAGUAACACGUGGAUAACCUACCUAUAAGACUGGGAUAACUUCGGGAAACCGGAGCUAAUACCGGAUAAUAUAUUGAACCGCAUGGUUCAAUAGUGAAAGACGGUUUUGCUGUCACUUAUAGAUGGAUCCGCGCCGCAUUAGCUAGUUGGUAAGGUAACGGCUUACCAAGGCAACGAUGCGUAGCCGACCUGAGAGGGUGAUCGGCCACACUGGAACUGAGACACGGUCCAGACUCCUACGGGAGGCAGCAGUAGGGAAUCUUCCGCAAUGGGCGAAAGCCUGACGGAGCAACGCCGCGUGAGUGAUUGAAGGUCUUCGGAUCGUAAAACUCUGUUAUUAGGGAAGAACAAAUGUGUAAGUAACUAUGCACGUCUUGACGGUACCUAAUCAGAAAGCCACGGCUAACUACGUG